RNAcentral lists this ribosomal RNA (460 nucleotides) under uncultured bacterium. Its description in RNAcentral is "partial 16S ribosomal RNA". It matches the Rfam family "Bacterial small subunit ribosomal RNA", at positions 338 to 795 of the family's 1533-position model. The record is from RNAcentral.
CCUACGGGUGGCAGCAGUGAGGAAUAUUGGUCAAUGGGCGCUAGCCUGAACCAGCCAAGUAGCGUGAAGGAUGACUGCCCUAUGGGUUGUAAACUUCUUUUAUAUGGGAAUAAAGUGCAGUAUGUAUACUGCUUUGCAUGUACCUUAUGAAUAAGGAUCGGCUAACUCCGUGCCAGCAGCCGCGGUAAUACGUAGGGAGCAAGCGUUGUCCGGAUUUACUGGGUGUAAAGGGUGCGUAGGCGGUCUUGCAAGUCAGACGUGAAAACCACAGGCUCAACCUGUGGACUGCGUUUGAAACUGUGGGGCUUGAGUGAAGUAGAGGUAGGCGGAAUUCGUCGUGUAGCGGUGAAAUGCUUAGAUAUGACGAAGAACCCCGAUUGCGAAGGCAGCUUGCUGCAGCGGAACUGACGCUGAUGCUCGAAAGCGCGGGUAUCGAACAGGAUUAGAUACCCGGGUAGUC